RNAcentral lists this non-coding RNA (218 nucleotides) under Pelagibacterium sp. The record is from RNAcentral. Lineage: Bacteria; Pseudomonadati; Pseudomonadota; Alphaproteobacteria; Hyphomicrobiales; Devosiaceae.
CAUAUCGAGCGCGUCGAAGGUUCCCCGAAGAACAGCAGUUCCGAGGGGAUCAAAAGGGAACACGGUGCGGCGUACCCAUCAGGGACCAAUACCGUGGCUGCCCCCGCAACUGUAAGCGGUGAGUUCUUCCGUUUUUGCCACUGGCCCGCUUGGGCUGGGAAGGCCCGGAAGCGCAUUGACCCGCAAGCCAGGAGACCUGCCCGCGACAUCCACGAAAC